This 108-nucleotide ribosomal RNA is filed under the name Allostella sp. ATCC 35155. Lineage: Bacteria; Pseudomonadati; Pseudomonadota; Alphaproteobacteria; Rhodospirillales; Allostellaceae. The record is from RNAcentral.
GUGGCUCAAGCGAGGGGCCUGCACCCGAUCCCAUCCCGAACUCGGCCGUGAAAACCCUCAGCGCCGAUGGUACUGCGUCUCAAGGCGCGGAAGAGUAGGUCGUCGCCA